AGUAGCUGUGUGGUUUUUUCUUUCAGAUGCUAUGAAUGAACAUAAUUAAGUUGCUGCAUCUACUUUUUAAGCCAUUCAAAUUGAUAUCCUGUGUUAUUAUAUUACCCCCUGUUGCUCUAAAUUGGUUAUGUAACUAUCAUGCUUUUUGUUUAAAAUCAUUCCUUUCAUUAUUAUUGCAACACUUUUGGAUUGGAAUAACUACAUCUGUAGUGCUAAAACUUUUGUCUUUUCUUACAGUCAAUCCUAGAUCUUGUUUCUUAUGUUAUUUUUUUACAAUCAACCUGUAUCUUUAAAAUUGUUCACCACAAUCCUAUUUGUUUCUGCUAGACAAUGGCAUAUGCCAAAGGUACUUUAAAUUUUUGUCAUUUCAGUCUUGAACUUUCUUCUUUCUUUUUUCCUCUUCAAAUAAAUAAUAAAUAUAUAAAGUCCACUAAAUUCU
This 439-nucleotide unclassified non-coding RNA is filed under the name Hevea brasiliensis (rubber tree). Lineage: Eukaryota; Viridiplantae; Streptophyta; Magnoliopsida; Malpighiales; Euphorbiaceae. The record is from RNAcentral.